CCUACGGUGGGCAGCAGUGAGGAAUAUUGGUCAAUGGACGAGAGUCUGAACCAGCCAAGUAGCGUGAAGGAUGACUGCCCUAUGGGUUGUAAACUUCUUUUAUAUGGGACUAAAAUGUUCCACGUGUGGGAUUUUGUAUGUACCAUAUGAAUAAGGAUCGGCCAACUCCGUGCCCGCAGCCGCGGUAAUACGGAGGAUCCGAGCUUUAUCCGGAUUUAUUGGGUUUAAAGGGAGCGUAGGUGGAUUGUUAAGUCAGUUGUGAAAGUUUGCGGCUCAAACGUAAAAUUGCAGUUGAAACUGGCAGUCUUGAGUACAGUAGAGGUGGGCGGAAUUCGUGGGGUAGCGGUGAAAUGCUUAGAUAUCACGAAGAACUCCGAUUGCGAAGGCAGCUCACUGGAAUGCAACUGACACUGAGGCUCGAAAGUGUGGGUAUCAAACAGGAUUAGAUACCCCUGUAGUC
This 460-nucleotide ribosomal RNA is filed under the name uncultured bacterium. RNAcentral describes it as "partial 16S ribosomal RNA". It matches the Rfam family "Bacterial small subunit ribosomal RNA", at positions 338 to 795 of the family's 1533-position model. The record is from RNAcentral.